Molecule: long non-coding RNA, 264 nt
Filed under: Panax ginseng (ginseng)
Lineage: Eukaryota; Viridiplantae; Streptophyta; Magnoliopsida; Apiales; Araliaceae
Description: long non-coding RNA (PGIN_LNC008449)
Source: RNAcentral
UCCCUCUCUCUUUCUCAUUGCUCUUUUACUUGGUCUUUCUUGUUGUUUCAAGCUUCUAGUGUUCCUUUUAUAGUCUUCUUACCCUACAAUCAUGAGAACAGAUAAUAAUUCAAGCCGAAAUGUUGGUUUCUUAGCAUCGCCUAUGAUGACAUAAAUAUAAAACCAGCUAGAAAAUGUCACGUGUACUAGUUUGGAGGGCAUUGUUGUCUUUCCACUCCAACCAAAGGCAUAACAAUAAUUCACCUAACAUCACACACUAUAAAU